AAAAAAAAAAAGAUAUCACAACAGAAACCCAAAAAGACCCUUGUGUCCAACUCAAGUUAAAAGUACCACAACUAUAAGAAGACAAAAAAGGAAUUGAAAUAUUAGGCAGCAACAAUAGCUUGUGAUGUCCCGCAGAAUGUGAUACUUGAUAAGGUCUUCAUUUGUUUCAUGAAAAAAAUUGACAAUAUUUCUUUUAAAAAA
This 201-nucleotide unclassified non-coding RNA is filed under the name Hevea brasiliensis (rubber tree). Lineage: Eukaryota; Viridiplantae; Streptophyta; Magnoliopsida; Malpighiales; Euphorbiaceae. The record is from RNAcentral.